RNAcentral lists this long non-coding RNA (9014 nucleotides) under Zea mays. Its description in RNAcentral is "long non-coding RNA (ZMAY_LNC004036)". The record is from RNAcentral. Lineage: Eukaryota; Viridiplantae; Streptophyta; Magnoliopsida; Poales; Poaceae.
CCGCCAACACCGAGAGUCUCACGUGUAGGGAAGGCAGCCUUCUUCGAUGAUACUCGCUUACAUCGACGCUCUGGUCAUGGUGGAGGUUCGAGAACCGUCGUCGAGUUGCGUGGUAGGCGCCUAGGAUUGUUUGCCGGAGUCGCGGGUCUUUGCGGAACCGCCCAGUGCCACGAACGAGAGCCUCGACGCCGUCCUAACUCUGGUAAACCUUACACAUGCCUUCACCUUCGAUUUCAUACCAUGUAGCACCGAUCUAUGUAGGUUGAAAUGCUCAUGUGAGUCGUGAAUUGCUCGUCGACGUUGAGCUCAGCCAUGUAUCCGCGCCUCACCGUGGGUACAACACGGUAUUGCAUUCUUCCCGACUGGGAGACUCCGAUCUGGCUCAUAGUGUACCAGGGAGUUUGCAGCGCCCUUUGAUAUUGUGGUUGGGCGUCGGGGGAGGCAGGGCACGGUGGACCGAUAAUGGCGCCGUCGUUCGGCUGACCAGAUUGGGGAAGAUGAUGGCGAGGCAUCGAUGCAUGGAUAAACAGACAUGAGUAGCUCGGUGAAGCGUUUUAGCGAGAUUUAAGGGGCCGUUGGAUCUUGAGGUGAUGAACGAGAUUAGAUCCAUGUACCGAUGCGACCGACAUGAGAUGGCCAUAAAGCACGAGGCCCGCGAGCCCGGCACGAAGCCCGCUGUUUGGGCCUGGUCCGAGCCUGGCAUGGCCCGGUUCUAUGCGGGCCCGGGCCGGCUCGGCACGAAUAAGCGGGUCGGGCUCGGACAGGAAACUAGACACGGUGGGCUAGCCCGGCACGGCCCGUUUACCUCUAAGCACGUUAAGCCCGCUUUUUUGCACAAAAACGUGCUUUUCGGCCCGCUUAGCUCACUUUUGGCCCGCUUUUUUCGUGCUAAACGGGCCGACCCGGCCCGUUUAGGCCCGUUGCGGGCCGGGCUCGGACAGAGAAUCAAGCCCGCGGGCUCAGCAGGCCCGGCCCGAUUUACUAACCGUGACUGGCGGGCCGGGCCCAAAACGGGUCGGGCUUCAUCAGGCCCGGGCCCGACCGGGCUGGGCGGCUCGUUUGGCCAUCUCUAGUUAUGGAUGUUUUUGGCCCCGCUCCUAGCCCCUGAGCCUAGAGUCGGGGCAACGGGAGACUCAGGGCCCCUUUUACGUAAAUGAUGAUGUAAUAUGGGGAAAACUCCACCUUAGGGCUUGUUCGGUUAGCUCCCAAUCCACAUGGAUUGAGUGGGAUUGGGUGGGUUUAAAUCUCAACUAAGUCAAACUCUUUCUUAAUUUUUUCCAAUCUCAUCCAAUUCAUGGGUAACGAAAUUAACCGAACAAGGCCUUAAUGGCAUUUAUAUUUGUGUUCCCUCAUUUAUUGCGCAUAGGGGGUGACUUACUCAUGCCCCCACACGGGGGUGGUGUUGUAGCCGAAGGCCUGGCAUGUUAGUGGGUCAAGCCUGCUUUCUUGUCUGUUGGGUAUAGAUGUCCAAAUAGGCCACCCGGCACGGAUCCGGUCCGAACCCGUUUCGGCCCGGUACGAAUAGGGCCGGGCUAGGCACGGACCGUUGAUGCUUCGGGCCGGGUCGGGCUGGCCCACGUGCCUAGGGACAUGCCCAAACCCGGCACGCACAGGGAAAAAUCGUGCCGGGCCGGCCCGUUGGCCUGGUGGGCCUCAACGUACCGGGCUGGCCACUAGCCCGAACCAACAGUAGAGCGGUAUAUAAAUACAUACAUUUAACAGAAUUAAUCAUAUAUAAUAACAUAUUAUUUACAUAUAUUAAGACAACAAAAUAUUUAUGUAUGCAUUUUAUAUUUAUGUAUGCAUUUAUAUAUGUUUGGCUGCGUAUUUAUUAUUUACAUAUCAUGAGAGAAUUAAAUGUAUUUACAUAUUUAGUAUUUACAUAAAUAUGCGGGCCGCCGUCGGGCCGACCCAUUUAUUGGGUCGGGCCGGGCCAAAGCACGCGGGCCGCCGUAUCUGCCUAUACCCGGCCCGGGCCCGUAACCGACCGUGCCGGGCCGUGUUUGGACCGGGCUAAAUUCGUGCCGUGCCACGGGCCAAACGGGCGGCCCGCACUGUUUGGACAUCUAUACUGUUGGGUCAUCUCCGCUGACACCGUGCUACAGGGUUUUGUAGGACAGCCCUUAUUUAGUCGCACCAGUCUACCUUGCUUUCGGUUCCCUUGUUCCUUGUCUUCCUCACUUGGCCUAUCCUUCUCGCACUCAGGUCAUUCGUAAUGGUGGAGUGGCGUCGAUCCUUGAUGAGCUAGGAGAACCUUUGGGCCCUUGUCGGGCACAGUCUGGUUGACGACGACAGAUAGCUUAUCACAGGCGCCGAGGUGGCCCCUAACCAGCCUCUUGGUUAUGUGGUUUCUUUUGUACAGUUCCAUGAGAGAGGGCUCACCUUCCCCCUUCAUCCUUUUGUUGUGACACUCUUUAUGCAUUUGCACGUGUAGCUUCACUAUCUGAAUCCGAAUGGAAUUCAGCACAUAGCUGCUUUCAUCGCCCUGUGUGAAGGGUAUGUUGGUGUCGAGCCCGAGCUCACUUUAUGUCAAUACUUCUUUUGUGCCGAGCUAUUUGUCUAAGGAGGAACAGAGGACAAUGGAAACGUGGUCGCUUAGGUGCGCCAGUAUCUGCCUUCACAGCGAAAGGUCGUGUGAGUAUAUCCCUAUCCCUCUUUCCUUAUCUAAUGAGGGUUGGCAUAGGCCAUCGUUCUUCUGUGAGACAACGGUCGAGGGCCCUUGUCGGGGUCGUAAUUCUCGGCAUUGAGGUACAAGGGCCAGGUGGCCUAGAUGUUUGGAAGGAGGCACAAGCGGCAGCACGGUCUCCCUUGCCUUUUGUCCCAAAGGGUCCUCUGAUGCGCCCUGAGCCAGGCUUCAUCGAAUUCGUAAACAUCUUGCGUCGUCCCCUCUUGUCUCCCUUCUUAUUUCACCAUCAUGAGGUGUUUAUUUUCCUGUUCAUUUUGGCGCAGUCACUGAAUCUCGUUGAGACGACUAUCCCGGGCCAGGAAUCGAAUUAAGAAGCGAGACAAGAUCCGUCAAGAAGUGUUUUGGGGUAGGCCAAUCUAACACCAUGUUCAUUAACAUGUGUUCACAUUAUCAAUCUGAUAUCUCUAUAUCCAUGAUCCAUGAAACAUGAUCAUCAAUUAAUACACGUACUAGGCUAUGCAUCAUCAUUAUCUCAUAUAACGAUAUGGACUGGGGAUAAUCUAGAAUAACACCAUAAUCAAUAAAGAGUUUCAUGAACAAGUCACAUACUUGAUAACUGAUGUAAUUGAUAGUUAUUCCAAAAAAUACUUUAUUAAAUAGUACAUAAACAUAGUCAUGACAUAGGUCUCUCACACAUACACACUAGAAUCACUGAUGUAAGCAUCUUAUACCCAUAGAUCUUGUGUGUACAUCAUGUUUUACUUAUGAAAGAGGUUUUUUCAAUGGAUCAGCAACAUUUGAAUCCACCUGCACAUUGCAAAUCUUCAUAUCACCUUGUUCUAUGAUCUCGUGAAUGAUGUGAUAACGUCGUAGUAUAUGUUUGGUCUUUUGGUGUGAUCUAGGCUCCUUUGCCUAUGCAAUGGCUUCACUAUUAUCACAAUAGAGAUCCACAGGAUGGGAUGCACUAGGAACAACACCCAACUUAGAAACAAAUUUUCUGAUCCAAACAACCUUUUUGCAGCUUCUGAAACCGCAAUAUACUUAGCUUAUAUUAUCAAUAUCCUACUAUAUCUUGUUUGGAACUCUUCUAGCUCACAGCCCCAACAAUGAGACAGAAAACAAAUCUGGAUCACGAUCUAGAAUCAUCUAUGCCUGUUUGGAAGCUAGCAUUGGUGUAGCCAGUUAAAACAAGAUCUUCAUCACCACCAAACACUAAGAAUGCAUCCUUAGUUCUUCUUAAGUACUUAAGGAUGUUCUUCAGCUUUUCGAUGAGCUUCACCAUAAUUUGAUUGAUACCUUCUUGUAAUACUUACAACAUAUGAGAUAUCUAGACGUGCACAUGGCAUGGCAUACAUGAUGGAUCCUAUAGCUAAAGCGUAAGGAAUCGCUUUCAUCCUUCUUGCUCAUCAAUUAUCACUGGACACUAAAUCUCACAAAGAUUAAUGCCAUGUGACAUUGGCAAGAAUCCUUUCUUAGAAUCCUGCAUAUUGAACUGAUUCAAUACUUUGUCAAUAUUUGUAUCUUGCCUUAAUACAAUUAGCCAUUUUUAUCAUCUCUAUAGAUAUUUAUACCCAAAAUAUAUGAUGCUUCUCCUAAAUCAUUCAUUGAAAACUCUUUCUUAAUGAAGUUUUAACGUUGUCAAGCAUUGGUAUGAUAUUCCCGAUCAACAAUAUGCCAUCUACAUAUAGAUUUUUUAUGAACACCAACCCUUUGACCAUUUCAUUAAAACACAAAUUCCAACUCUGAGAUGCUUGCUUCAACCCAUAAAUGGAAUCACAAAGUUUGCAUAUCCUCCCAUCAUUUUUAGUUUCGACAAAACCUUCAGGUCGUGUCAUGUACACAUCCUCAGUCAGAUUUCUAUUAAGGAAAACAGUUUUGACAUCCUUUUGUUAUAUUUAAUAAUCAAAAUAUGCAACAAUUGAUAGGAUAAUCCAUACAUACUUUAGUAUCAUUACUGGGGAGAAAGUUUCAUCAUAGUCUACAUCAUGAAUUUGUUUGAAACCUUUGGCUACCAAACAUGCUUUAUAGAUAUAAACAUUUCCAUCCAUGUCUAUCUUUUUCUCGUAAACCCACUUGCAUUCGAUAGUUCUCACACCAUAAAUUGGAUCAAUCAAGUUCCAAACUUGAUUUUCAUGCAUGGACUAUAUUUCGGAUUCCAUGGCCAUUAAUCGGAGUUGGGUUCCAUCAGUGAUUAUUUGUAGAUUGUAGCCUCAUCAUUGACCAACAAUAAUAUGCCAUGAUGCUCCAUGGUUAGGAGUGUGAAAUUUUGAGUUAUGUGAUGUUUCCUUGUAGACCUACGUGGGGCUGGUGCUUCAUCAAUAGAUUCCACAACAUCUUGUACAUCUUGUACGAGUUCAGUGGGUGUUGAAACAUUUUUAGGUGUUUCUCAAAUUUCUUCAAGUUGCACUUGGCUCAAAUUAACUCCUUUAGAGAGAAACUCUUUCUCUAAGAAGACACCAUUGCGAGCAACAAACACUUGCCCUCGGUUCUAUUAUAACAAUAAUAUCCUUUGGCUUCCCUUGGAUACCCCACAAAAAAGCAUUUCUUGAUUUUGGAGUGAGUUUGUCUGACAUCAAAUGUUUGAUAUAAGCCUCACAUCCCCAAACUUUGAGGAAAGACAGUGUGGGAUGUUUCCUAGUCCAUAUCUCAUAUGGAGUCUUCUCAAUAGACUUGGUUGGAACCCUGUUUAGUGUAAGUGUGCCUAUUUCAAGAUAAUAACCCCAAUAAGAUAGUGGAAGAUCAUCUUGGCUCAUUGUCAACCUAACCAUGUCUAACGAGGUUUACUUUCUCCAUUUAGAUACCCCAUUCCAUUGAGGUGUUCAAGGUGGAGUCAACUACAGAACAAUUCCACAUUGUUUAAGAUAAUCAUUGAAUUCUUGAAUCAAAUAUUCACCUCCACGAUUUGAUCGCAAAAAAAUAAUUGUCUUGCCAAGUUAAUUCUAUACUUCAUUCUGAAAUUUUUUUAACUUUUCAAAUGAUAUAGACAUAUGCCUCAUUAGGUAUAAAUUUCCAUAUCUACUAAAGUCAUCAGUAAAAGUAUUGAAGUACUGAAAUCCACCUCUGACUAUUGAGCUCAUUGGUUCACAUACAUCAAUAUGUACAAGUCCAAACAUGUCAUUUGCCCUUUCACUGUGACUAGUGAAGGGUGCUUUCGUCAUCUUUCCAAGCAAACAAGACUCGCACACGUCAAGUGAUUCAAAAUCAAAUGAGCUAAGCAAACCAUCAUUGUGGAGUCUUUUAAUGAGUUUCUCAUUUAUAUGACCUAAGCGACAAUGCCAAAUAAAAGUAGGAUUCAAAUCAUUUAGUCGAGCCCUUUUAGUAUUAAUGUUACAAACAAUUUUAUUCUCAGAAUCAAGAACAUAUAAUCCAUUCACCAAUGGAAAAUGAGCAUAAAAAAUAUCAUUAUAAUAAAUAGAACAACACUAGUUCUUUAUUACAAUCUCAUAACCAUCUACUUAUACUAGACAUGAAGAAGAGAUAAUGUUCUUACUUAUGGAAGGAAUGCGAUAAUAAUUAUUCAACUCCAAAACUAAUCAUUAAGGUAACGAUAAGUUAUAGGUGCCGACUACUAUGCACGCAACUCUUGCUCCAUUUUCGGCACAUACAUCCAUCUCGCCUUUAGCAAAUCUUCUAGUCUUUCUUAGCCCUAUAAUGAUUUGCAAGUGUGAAUCAAUGAUCCAGUAUCAAAAACCCAUGAUUCAUUACAAGAUGUUGCAAUAUUAAUUUUCUAUAACAUUUAUACCUCAAGUAGAAGUCGCACUUCCCUUCUUCUUCUUGAGUUCCUCUAAGUACUUUGUGCAGUUCCUUGACCAAUGUCCCGUGUCAUGACAAUGGAAGCAUUCAUCAUCAGGAGAAGGACUAGACUUGCCCUUUGUCUUAGGCUUAGAGCUUGAGGGCUCCUUGGGAACAUUCUUCCCCUUGCAUUUUCUGUUAGGAGGCUACCUGCCUACUUUCUGCGAGCUUGCAAGAGAAUAAGGACUUUGAGAUGUUGUAUCUCACGGCUCUAGCUUGUUCCUCAGGUAUUCCAUGUAGCCCCACAAUCAUAGAAUAAGCAUCAUUAUGUGCAUACUGUUUCUGUAGAUUCGAGGACAUAGUGGCAGGCAUAAAGCAGCUCACAUCAAUUUAAUCAUUGGUGUGUUCCCGUAAGUCACUCGAUCUAACUCAUCCGCAUCAUCAAAGAGGUCAUCAGGGUAUGGUUCCUCAAGAACAUACUUGGUUUUCUCUUACCUAAGAACAAUUCUCAGGUUGCAGUACCAAUCAAUAAACUUAUUUCCAUUGAGUUUCCCUUUAUCAAGCAUAGAUCGAAAAUUGAAAAUAGAAUUGUUGCUGGCAUACAUGAUCUAUAACAGAAAAUAAAUAUACAAAGUUUUAGCACUACGCAAACAGCUCAGGCAAUAGAAGGGGAGAGACAGCACCCUCGGCGUCAUCUGGAGGCGUCACAGCGGAGUAGGACCCAGCGUCGAGUGGAGAGACUGGUGGAACCACCUUUGCUUUGAAGUGGCGAGCCAGCUUCAAGCUCGACCUUUCGACAAUGUCGGCAAGCCUCCAGACCUCCGCCUCGGCAAGGUCAUCCUCGUCAGGCAGGAUAUAGCCUUCGCACACCCGCUCGAGGUCGAUCUCGUAGUGGGAUGCAACAGAGGAGAUGGGCCACUAGGGCGUAAACCCUAAACAAAGGAGAUGGGCCACCAGGGUCGAUCUUGUAGUGGGAUGCAACAGAGGAGAUGGGCCACCAGGCAAGGAUAAGUUAAAUCUUUGUCUUCGCACACCAUGGCCUGCAGAUCCUCGUCGUCAACAGAGGAGAUGGGCCAUGGGUCACGGGGAGGAAGUGUAACACCCAGAAUAUUAAUAUUGGAGUUUAUGAAAAUUUUCCAAAGGUUUCGAAUGAAAACGACCUUUAAGAAGAUUUUCUUACCUUUGAGGUCAUCUCUCCUAAAAAUAUGCGUUCUCUAACAAAAGAAACAAAUACUUAUAUGAAUCAACUUAUCCAUUACAGACUUAUAUACCAAGUAAUAGUGACUAAAUUAUUUAUAAAGUAACUAUUCAUAAAGGAUAUACAUUCAAAAUGAUGUUAUCCUAAAAUAAUCAAAUAAUAAAAUAUUAAGGUUUGAAGUUAACUUUAAAUUGACUACAUACUAAAGACAAAGAUUUCUUUAAAUAAUAUGUGUGUGCAAUACAUAUUUAGAAACAUUUGCGUGAAUGAUUAAAUAAAAAUAUAUCACUUUGCAUUGGCAUGCUGAGUUCUUUGAUUGGGCAUUUGAAAUAAGUAUGAAACCUGAAAACUUGAGAUUCAAAUUUGAGAAUGUAGAAUGAAAUAGAAAAGAAAAUAGGAAUUAAAAAGAAAAAACAACCAAAACUGUUCUCGGGCUUGAUUUGGCCCAUUUUAACAACAUGUGGCCCAACUCACCUUCCCCGAUCACCUGGUCCAGCUAGGCACCCGCGCGACCGACAUGUGGGCCCUAUUUGUUAGCGUCUCGGCGGCAUCUGCCUCCUGAUGUCACUGAGUUAUGGGCUCCAUCAGCCAGCCCCGAACUGUUGCCCCACCGUUCCUGAGUCGUCGACAUGUGGGCCCCUCCAAUCGAGCAAAUCUUCUUCCUCCAUUUUCUGCUUCUCAGUUGAGCGCGCCGAACUUCGAGAUCUCCAGUCUCGCGUCAUGUUCGGUUACUAGUGGUUUGAGGGGGAUUGAAGGGGAUUAAAUCCCCUCCUAUUCAAAAUUGAAUAGGUGGGGAUUUAAUCCUCUUCAAUCCCCUAGCAACCGAACAAGGGUGGUGAUCCCUAUGCCACCACCACUAGUAAGGCCUAUCCAUUUUGAUUCAAGUUCAUCCCCACAACGUGUAUCGUGCUUUGGUUAGGAAAGUAGCACACUUGACCGAUGGUUUGGUUUUAUCCGACAACGAUGUCAGUCAUGAUGGUGUUACUCUGCCAUGGCAGGUCAUUGGGACAGAGGAGAAGGCCUCUCGGCCGUUGGUCUGCGAUCUAACGGUAGCGAUUACAUUAAGAAGGUAUCGUUUCGACAUUUUGGAUAGGAGGCAUCGAUCUGAGAUCGGAUGGACCCAAUGCAAUCUCGUUUAAUUAAAUCUAUACUGUAGAUCUCCAAUCCUUCGGUCGAGGCUACGUACCGGUUCGGUAAAGAACAAGAUUUAAUUUGGGCCGUUAGAUGGUGAUCAGACGGCCCGAAGCAUGUACGUGUAUAUGCAGCCGCGCUAAUUUGCAAAUUAGCCCUCAAGUUUCAUCAUUGUUGGGGGCCUUCUUCCUUCGAAGGUCCUCAAAAAAGUGAUUGACUAUAUGUUUUCAGUAUGACAUGGAUUAUUGCAGGAGGCUUCAGCUUCGAAAUUAAGAUCCUUUCUUGUGACAAGGGUCAAAAUGUAACCCAAAGGUGAUAAAAAUGGAC